AUGUAUGACCCUGGCGGCAGCUCGUCGUCCCGGCCACAUGGCAAGGAGAAGCUGCAGCCGGAGGUGGUUCUCUACACGGCGUCAGCUUCAGCGUCGUGCCGCAGAGUGCGCACCUCUGCCGAAAGCUACGCCUUGCGCGCCCUGCUGCGCGGCUACGGCGUGGCCGUGGACGUGCGUAGCGUGUCCACGAGCAAUGCUCACCGCUGCAAGCUCAAGUCGUUGCUUGCGGCUCGGGGCUGCCCCUUCUCCCUCCCGCAGCUCCUCGUGGGCGGCCGGCUCGUCGGCGGCCCUGACCAGGUCAGGCAGCUCCACCAGGCCGGCGGGCUGCGGCCUCUCCUCGACGGCGCCCCAAGGCCGAGCACCGCCUUCGUCUGCCAAGCCUGUAAGAGGGUCGGCUCCGAGCCAUGCGAAGACUGCAGCGAGUCCCGCAACAACAAGAUGGUGGAUCCUGUAAGUGGCAUUACUGAGGAGAAGGGGGAGAAGGAGGAGAGGGUUGUCCUUUUUUAUCCAACCCAAGAUGUUUCAAUGGGAGGUAGAGGCAGAGAGAUGGAUGCCAGUUUCGGUGUUUCUCUUGGCGCCAUGAGCCCCCUUCUUAAGAAGCUUGACAUGAUGCUAGGUCCUCAUGGAUGCAAGCUGACCAAGGGGGUGAAUGAUAGGUCGCAGCUCCUCAAAGAUGAUCUUGAAGAAAUAGCCGCAUACCUUGAAGAUCUGUUAGAGGUGGAGGACCCUCCCAUGACGGCCAAGUGCUGGAUGAAAGAAGCACGGGAGUUAUCUUAUGACAUCCAAGAUUGCAUUGACAACUUUAUGCCCCCUGAGUCUCUUGGCUACAAAUCUGACCACAAGAUGACUCAUGUUAAGAUUCCCAAGAGACUCAAGUGGCAGAAACAGAUUGAAUAUGCAGCUCCUGAUGUGUCAGGACAUGUUAUCUCCAAAAUCAUUCGUGUUGAUGUCAUUCGUGCUCCCAGGAAGCUCAAGUUGUACCAGCAGAUGGUUGAAAAGGUAUCAGAAUUCAGAAUCUAUGCCCGGGAGGCGAUCCGACGGUACGAGAGGUACCAGCUCCAUUCUUGUAGCACCUCGGCGGCACGUAGAUUUUCAGCCAUUGGGCCUAUAAUGCCAAUGCCGCCACUGCCUUGUGAGAAAACUUGUUCCGGCCUAGUAAUUGAUGGUCGGAUGAGCAAGUUUAUUAACUCUCUGGCUAACGACGCGGAUCAGCAGCUCAAGGUGGUGUCUAUUCAUGGAUUUGGAUGUCUUGGUAAAACAAUGCUUGCCAAAGUGUUGUACAAUAAAAUUGGGAGGAAAUUCCAUUGCCGGGCUUUCGUCCGGGUGUCCAAAAACCCUGAUAUGAAGAGGCUUUUCCACGACAUGCUAUCACAAUUACAGCGGAAGCAGCCCCAAGCAAGCCAAGACGCUUCUGAUGAACUUCGCAUUACUGCUGAAAAUAUCGGCAAUUGUCUACAUGGCAAAAGGUAUCUAGUUGUUGUUGAUGAUUUGUGGGAUACAUCAGCAUGGGAUGUUAUUAAUCAGCUUUUUCCCAAGGGUAGUCAAGGCAGCAGAAUAAUAACAACUACACAGAUUGAAUAUGUUGCAUUAGCAUGUUGCAGCGAUGACCCAGAACAAGUUUUUGAGAUGAAUCCUUUGGAUGAUGAUCACUCAAGGAAGCUAUUCUUUGACAGGCUUUUUGGUUCUGAAAGUAACUGUCCUGACGAAUUGAAACAAGUUUCAAGCCAAAUUGUAGAAAUAUGUGGUGGUUUACCGCUAGCAACCGUCAGCAUUGCUAGUCUUUUAGCAAACCAGCCUUUUGUAUCAGUGGAUUUAUUGACACACAUACAUGAUUCGUUAGUGUCUUGUUUGUCAUCAAAUUCAACUUCAGAAAGAACGAGACAAGUACUGAACCUCAGCUACCACAGGCUUCCUCAUUACCUCAAGACAUGCUUGCUCCAACUUGGCAUGUAUUCAGAGGGCUCCAUAAUCUUCAAACAUGACCUGGUCAGGCAAUGGGUGGCUGAAGGGUUUCUUGCUGCAAGUGAAGGGCAAAAUAUGGAAGAAGUUGCUGGAAUGUAUUUCGAUCAACUUGUUGAUAGAAGAUUCAUCCAACCUGUGUCUAUCAACUUCAACAAUGAGGUGGUAUCCUGCACAGUUCACGCCGUGGUGCAUGAUCUUAUUGCACACAAGUCUGCAGAAGAGAAUUUCUUUGUGAUAGUAGAUUGCAAUCGGAAGAAUAUGGCACUUUCUCAUAAGGUCCAUCGACUGUCUCUCCAACUUGGUGAUGCAAAAUAUGCCAAGAUACCAGCAAACAUCAGAAAGUCACAAGUACGGACGCUUGCAAUUUUUGGAGUAUCAGAGUGUAUGCCUUGUAUUGGAGAGUUCAAGCUUGUUCGUGUUCUGAACCUUCAAUUGUCUGGCCAUCAUAAUGGCGACCAAGACCUGUCCAUAGACCUCUCUAGAGUAUCAGAACUUUUCCAUCUGCGAUAUCUGAAGAUUGUUUGUGAUGUCUGCGUAAAACUUCCAAACCGUAUGAGAGGGCUGCAGUGUUUGGAAACAUUGGACGUUAUGGAUACACCAAGAGGCACUUAUGUUCCAUGGGACAUAAUAUAUCUCACACGCUUGUUGCACCUCAGUCUUCCUCCUGACACAAAUCUGCUGGAUUGGUCACUUGGUGACGAUAUGAGCCUUUGCAGGCCGAACCACCUGCAGGAUCUUUGCAUUUCUACACCGCUUUCUUCAGAUUCCGACCGUCUGAAGAGAAGCAUGUAUGCUCUGGAUUACUUAAGGUAUGAACAUGACAGCCUGAAAACUGUAAAACUGGUGGCUCACGGAUCCUCGGUUAGCUAUGGUGAUGCUUCAAAAGCAAGAUUUAAGUGGGUUUUGGAUAAACUUACCCACCAUGUCCAGAGAGUUGAGGUCUCACCGCACAGCCCCGUCAUAUUUUGUGAUAUGCAUUUGUGGGAGAUCCAACUUGGCAACCUAUGCAUUCUGAAGAUUGCAGUGGAUGGACUUUCAGUAAAUGAUGUCCAUAUUCUUGGACGGUUGCCUGCCCUCACUGCUCUGUCGUUGUAUGUGGAGAAGUCACCUGCUAUUAAGAUAACCUUUGGCACGGCUGCUGGAUUCACAGCUCUCAAGUACUUGAAGCUGAGGUUCAUGAGUGGAAUAGCUUGGCUAAGAUUUGAGGCGGACGCAAUGCCUAAUCUCUGGAAGCUCAGGCUCGUUUUCGACGCCAUCCCCCCACUGGUGGACCAACGACUUGAACUUUAUUCUGUGCCUGACCAGUGGAAACAAUAUCAACAUGGUACUGCAUUAAUCAGCAUCGACCAUAUGACAGGCCUUAGAGAAGUCUCUGCUAAAUUUGGAGGUGCAGCUGUUGAUCUGCAGUAUGUCUCGAGGAUUGGCGUAGUUAUUAAUCAUCGGGGCAAUCCUGUAAUCAGCGUGCAAUUAGUUGACUCUGGUUCCUAUUGUGAGGAAAGCACAGUACAGAAACAACAAUCAGAUGAUGAUAAAAGGAUAUCAUGGAGGUCACCGGAGUCUUGUUCGCGCCUGCAUCCUCCAGGUGUAGAGGAGGGUGGAGAGCAGCAGGAUGUGGUCUCGUGGAGCAAUACCAUUGGUGUGAUAGGUCGUGACCUCUUCAUCUAUUGCCUCCACCGCCUCUCCAGGUGGGAAUAUGCCGCCAUCGCCUCUCUGAACCGCGACCUCAAUUCCGUGGUUCGCAACGGGGACAUCUACCGCCUGCGUCGCAAGAACGGGGUCGCAGAGCACUGGAUCUACCUCUCUUGCGGUACUGAUCCUCCGGAGUGGGAGGCUUAUGACCCGUCCACUGGGCGCUGGAUCCACGUGCCCAAGAUGCCACCGGCUGAAAGGUACUUCUGGGAGUCGCUUGCCGUAGGAACCGAGCUGCUGGUGUUUGGGGACUGCGGAAGGGUUGCCUUGAGAUAUAGCAUCCUUACCAAUUCAUGGACAGGGCUGGCUGAUGCGAUGAACACCCCGCGGCGCUUCUUUGGGUCAGCAAGUGCCGGUGAAAAGGCGUAUGUCGCGGGAGGCGUUGAUUCUUCUCUUAUUAAUGUAUUGAGCUCCGCAGAGAUGUAUGACUCGGAGGCACAUACCUGGACACCCCUUCCCGGCAUGAAUAGGGCUAGGUACGGAUGCUCUGGCGCGUUCAUGGACGGCAAGUUCUAUGUGAUCGGUGGUCUUAGCAGUAGCCACGAGCUAUUGACAUGCGGUGAGGAGUAUGACCUGAACCGGCGGUCAUGGAGGGUCAUCGACAACAUGUCUCAGGAACUCAACCUUGAUCGGUUGGGUGGUCCUCCGCUCCUUGCAGUUGUGAACAAUGAGCUUUAUGCCGCUGAUUACAGUGAGAAUAAUGAUUUGAAGCAGUAUGAUAAGCUGGACAACAAGUGGAUCACUCUUGGAAAAUUGCCUGUACGGUCUAAGAAGAAAGAAGGCUGGGACAUGGGUUUCCGAGCUUGUGGUGACCGGCUGAUUGUUAUUGGGCCUCCAAACAAUUUUAGUGAUGAAAAGGUGGGUGAGCUUCAUUCAUGGACCCCGGAUGGGCAACCACCUCUGUGGAAUUUGGUUGCCACACGCCCAUACAAUGGUCACAGCUGGAUUCUGUGUGCGGUGAUGGGUUGCUGA
RNAcentral lists this ribosomal RNA (4623 nucleotides) under Triticum aestivum (bread wheat). RNAcentral describes it as "partial small subunit ribosomal RNA". The record is from RNAcentral. Lineage: Eukaryota; Viridiplantae; Streptophyta; Magnoliopsida; Poales; Poaceae.